Molecule: ribosomal RNA, 991 nt
Filed under: human metagenome
Description: bacterial LSU rRNA
Rfam family: Bacterial large subunit ribosomal RNA
Source: RNAcentral
CCCGUACCGUAAACCGACACAGGUGGAUGAGGAGAGAAUCCUAAGGCCGACGGGAGAAGCAUUGUUAAGGAACUCGGCAAAAUGACUCCGUAACUUCGGGAGAAGGAGUGCCAGUAAGAUGGCCGCAGAGAAUUGGCCCAAGCAACUGUUUAGCAAAAACACAGGUCUAUGCAAAACCGAAAGGUGAGGUAUAUGGGCUGACGCCUGCCCGGUGCUGGAAGGUUAAGGGGAGUGGUCAGGAAACGAAGCCACGAACUUAAGCCCCAGUAAACGGCGGCCGUAACUAUAACGGUCCUAAGGUAGCGAAAUUCCUUGUCGGGUAAGUUCCGACCCGCACGAAAGGCGUAAUGAUUUGGGCACUGUCUCAACAAUGCACCCGGUGAAAUUGAAAUACCAGUGAAGAUGCUGGUUACCUGCGCCAGGACGGAAAGACCCCAUGGAGCUUUACUCCAGCUUGAUACUGGGAUUCGGUAUUGCAUGUACAGGAUAGGUGGGAGGCUUUGAAGCGGUGACGCCAGUUGCCGUGGAGCUGCUGUUGGGAUACCACCCUUGCAGUACUGGGUUUCUAACCAGCGGCCUUAAACAGGUCGGGGGACAAUGUCAGGUGGGGAGUUUGACUGGGGCGGUCGCCUCCGAAAGGGUAUCGGAGGCGCUCAAAGGUUCCCUCAGAAUGGUCGGAAACCAUUCGAAGAGUGCAAAGGCAGAAGGGAGCUUGACUGCGACACCGACGGGUGGAGCAGGUACGAAAGUAGGACUUAGUGAUCCGGUGGUAUUAAGUGGGAAUGCCAUCGCUCAACGGAUAAAAGCUACCCUGGGGAUAACAGGCUUAUCACUCCCAAGAGUUCACAUCGACGGAGUGGUUUGGCACCUCGAUGUCGGCUCAUCGCAUCCUGGGGCUGAAGUAGGUCCCAAGGGUUGGGCUGUUCGCCCAUUAAAGCGGUACGCGAGCUGGGUUCAGAACGUCGUGAGACAGUUCGGUCCCUAUCCGGCG